Molecule: ribosomal RNA, 360 nt
Filed under: Lycodes caudimaculatus
Lineage: Eukaryota; Metazoa; Chordata; Actinopteri; Perciformes; Zoarcidae
Description: partial 12S ribosomal RNA
Rfam family: Bacterial small subunit ribosomal RNA
Source: RNAcentral
UCCGCCUGGGAACUACGAGCAGCAGCUUAAAACCCAAAGGACUUGGCGGUGCUUUAAACCCACCUAGAGGAGCCUGUUCUAGAACCGAUAGCCCCCGUUCAACCUCACCUUUCCUUGUUUUACCCGCCUAUAUACCGCCGUCGUCAGCUUACCCUGUGAAGGUUUAACAGUAAACAAAACUGGCUUAGCCCAGAACGUCAGGUCGAGGUGUAGCGCAUGGGAGGGGAAGAAAUGGGCUACAUUCGCUACUACAGCGAACACGGACGAUGCACUGAAACGUCCAUCUGAAGGAGGAUUUAGCAGUAAGCAGAAAAUAGAGUGUUCCGCUGAAAUUGGCCCUGAAGCGCGCACACACCGCCC